UCUGGAACACAGUAGCACUUACUU
This 24-nucleotide unclassified non-coding RNA is filed under the name Mus musculus (house mouse). Its description in RNAcentral is "oocyte_clustered_small_RNA11499". Lineage: Eukaryota; Metazoa; Chordata; Mammalia; Rodentia; Muridae. The record is from RNAcentral.